AUAAAGAAAGUAAAAAAGGGCGCAUGGCGGAUGCCUUGGCUCUCGGAGGCGAUGAAGGACGUGAUAAGCUGCGAUAAGCUUUGGGGAGGUGCAAAUGACCUUUGAUCCAGAGAUUUCCGAAUGGGACAACCCAAUAUCUUGAAGAGGUAUUAUCUAACGUUGUUGGAGGCUAACGCAGGGAACUGAAACAUCUUAGUACCUGCAGGAAAAGAAAAUAAACAAUGAUUCCCCCAGUAGUGGCGAGCGAACGGGGAACAGCCCAAACCAUCCAUGUUACGGCAUGGGUGGGGUUGUAGGACUACGCCGUUGCAUGAAGACAUCAGAGAAGAACUUUCUGGAAAGAAAGACCAUAGAGCAUGACAGUUGCGUAUUCGAAUGUUGUCGAAGCAUAGUAGUAUCCUGAGUAGCGCGGAGCACGAGGAAUUCUGCGUGAAUCUGCCGGGACCAUCCGGUAAGGCUAAAUACUCCCGAGAGACCGAUAGCGAACCAGUACCGUGAGGGAAAGGUGAAAAGCACUUCGAACAGAAGAGUGAAAUAGUUCCUGAAACCGUGCGCCUACAAGCGGUCGGAGCUCGUUAAUGAGUGACGGCGUGCCUUUUGCAUAAUGAACCUACGAGUUGCCUUUGCCGGCAAGGUUAAGUGUGACGACACACGUAUCCGAAGCGAAAGCGAGUCUGAACAGGGCGUAUAGUCGGCAGUGGCAGACGCGAAACCAAGUGAUCUACCCUUGGCCAGGUUGAAGGCUGGGUAACACCAGCUGGAGGACCGCACCAAUAAGCGUUGAAAAGCUUCUGGAUGAGCUGAGGGUAGGGGUGAAAGGCUAAUCAAACUUGGAGAUAGCUCGUACUCCCCGAAAUGCAUUUAGGUGCAGCCUUGCGGGUUACUGAUGUGAGGUAGAGCGACUGAUAAGAUGCGAGGGCUUCACCGCCUAUCAAGUCUUGACAAACUCCGAAUGCGCAUCAGUUCUACCGCAGGAGUGAGGGCAUGGGUGCUAAGGUCCGUGCCCGAGAGGAGAAGAAUCCGGACCACCUGCUAAGGUCCCGAAAUGACAGCUAAGUUAAACUAACGAAGUCUGACUGCUAAGACAGCUAGGAUGUUGGCUUGGAAGCAGCCAUUCAUUUAAAGAGUGCGUAACAGCUCACUAGUCGAGGAGUCGGGCGUGGAUAAUAAUCGGGUAUUAAGUUGUCUACCGAAGCAGUGGGAUCAUUUAUAUGAUCGGUAGGGGAGCAUUCCAGUCAGCGUCGAAGGCGUACCGUGAGGUAUUCUGGAGCGUCUGGAAAAGCAAAUGUAGGUAUAAGUAACGAUAAAGGGGGCGGGAAACCCCCUCGCCGAAAGACUAAGGUUUCCUGAUCAACGCUAAUCGGAUCAGGGUCAGUCGGGUCCUAAGGCUCAGCCGAACGGCGAUGCCGAUGGCAGAAACGGUUAAUAUUCCGUUACUACCUUCAGGAGUGACGUGGAGACGCAGUAGUGACAGUGCCGCCAUCUGACGGAAUAGAUGGUUGAAGGGUGUAGGAGUCGAUCAUGGCAGGCAAAUCCACCAUGAGAUCCGAACCUGAUAGUAUGCCGCGUCCUUCGGGACAAGGCAAUAGUGCGCGUAAGCAUGCUGCCGAGAAAAUCCGCUAAACUUAAUCCUGCAGGUACCCGUACCGCAAACGGACACACGUAGUCGGGAUGAAUAUUCUAAGGCGCUUGAGUGAUUCACGGUUAAGGAACUAGGCAAACUGACCCUGUAACUUCGGGAUAAAGGGUCCCUACCCUUUUAUGGGAGGGCGCAGAGAAUCGGUCCAGGCAACUGUUUAACAAAAACACAGGGCUGUGCCAAAUCGAAAGAUCCAGUAUACAGCCUGACACCUGCCCGGUGCUGGAAGGUUAAGAGGAGAUGUCAUCGAUAAGAGAAGCGUUGAAUUGAAGCCCCAGUAAACGGCGGCCGUAACUAUAACGGUCCUAAGGUAGCGAAAUUCCUUGUCGGGUAAGUUCCGACCUGCACGAAUGGUGUAAUGAUCUGGACGCUGUCUCAACCGUGAGCUCAGUGAAAUUGUAGUAUCGGUGAAGAUGCCGAUUACCCGCGAUGGGACGAAAAGACCCCGUGAACCUUUACUAUAGCUUAUCAUUGAAUCUGGGCACGUGAUGUGUAGGAUAGGUCGGAGGCUUUGAAGCAGGUACGCCAGUAUUUGUGGAGCCGCUGUUGAAAUACGACCCUUUAUUUGUUUGGAUUCUAACCCGUGGAACGGGGACAUUGAUUGGUGGGUAGUUUGACUGGGGUGGUCGCCUCCAAAAGCGUAACGGAGGCUUCUAAAGGUGCCCUCCGGCCGAUUGGUAACCGGCCUUAGAGUGUAAUGGCAUAAGGGCGCUUGACUGGGAGACUGACAAGUCGAUCAGGUAGGAAACUAGAGCAUAGUGAUCCGGUGUUUCCGUAUGGAAGGGACAUCGCUCAAAGGAUAAAAGGUACUCCGGGGAUAACAGGCUGAUCCCUCCCAAGAGCUCAUAUCGACGGAGUGGUUUGGCACCUCGAUGUCGGCUCGUCACAUCCUGGGGCUGGAGAAGGUCCCAAGGGUUGGGCUGUUCGCCCAUUAAAGUGGCACGCGAGCUGGGUUCAGAACGUCGUGAGACAGUUCGGUCUCUAUCUAUCGUGGGCGUAUGAAAUUUGCGUGGCUCUGACACUAGUACGAGAGGACCGUGUUGGACAGACCUCUGGUUUGCCGGUUGUGCCGCCAGGUGCAUUGCCGGGUAUCUAAGUCUGGAUCGGAUAAGUGCUGAAAGCAUCUAAGUACGAAGCCGGCCACAAGAUUAGAUUUCUCAGGGUCGUUGUAGACUACGACGUUGAUAGGAUGCAGGUGUAAAG
This 2842-nucleotide ribosomal RNA is filed under the name Phocaeicola vulgatus. Its description in RNAcentral is "Bacteroides vulgatus 23S ribosomal RNA". It matches the Rfam family "Bacterial large subunit ribosomal RNA". The record is from RNAcentral. Lineage: Bacteria; Pseudomonadati; Bacteroidota; Bacteroidia; Bacteroidales; Bacteroidaceae.